AAGUAUGUCCAAAGAAUCUGAGGACCAAUGCCAAUAAUAAUCAUCACUUGUAAACUUACAUUUUCUUACCUACUACUUGGGUUACCCUCAGCUAUUUCUCUCUUUCGUGGUCCCUUCUGCCUCAGUUAAAUUCUUUGUGAGCAAAGGAAAGACAAAGAAACUCUCUGAAUUUUCAGGACUAUUUUCUUUGAGAUUUGUGGCUUUUUUUCCCUGCCUCUUGACUCUGCAGUACUGACGGGUAUGGUAUGUGUGGUACUGUACUAGACCCUCUGUGGUUUCUGCAUAAAUGAGGCAAGGCCAAAGAUGACUGCUCCAAGUGAGAGAAGAUACUCCAGGAAAAGUACCUCUGCUCUUCUAACCUCUGACUACACACAAGAGCAGGAACUGCAGGUGUUUCCUUCAACACAAGGAAAAGCACUGAAAAAGAGUGUAAAGGGGGAGAGGUGGUUCUUGUGAAGCUCUUUCCAGGGGCACGGGGAGAUGAAGGGUCUCCAUCAGGGUCAAGGUGUGACCCCAUGAACUCAUCCCAGGGUCAUGUCUGUCUCCUGUACACUGAGCAGGGACCGGCUCCUGCAGCACUGCAUCCCUGCCUGGCUGUGAUUCUUGGCAGCUCAUGGAUUUGCUUUUCAUCUCCUCAAAGCAGCAGGAGAACAACAGUGGGUUUAUAAGCCCAGAGGAAAUUGUCCACCAAGUUUUGAAUCCCUGGCAGAGGACUCUAGCUGUAAUCAUGGCAGGAUGAGGGGAAAUCAGAGCCCUGCUUAGGGUAUAGUAAAUAAAAUGUGGGGGAAAAAGCAAGGGCAAAUGAACAUAUUUAAAAACAAAAUAAAUCAGCUGUGGAAACACAAUUUAAAAGCUGAACAUGGAAUUUUUUUCCAGCCUUGAUCUGGGAGAGAUGCAAUAUAAUUUCAUUACUGAAAAAGGCUGUGCUAAGAGUCCAGUGAGAUGAUCACUCACUUAUCACUCCUAACACUAUUUGUUUUCAGAUGACAAUUACAAAACCCAGAUGUGAACAACUAGGAGAUUUUAUAUUAGGACUGGGCUUCUCAGUGAGUUUCAAAGGUAGCCAAAAUGGUAGAUUUAAAGUUCACUCUUGUUAUAUGAUGUGGUAAGGUUGUUGAUAGCCUGUCAUGACAAUCUUUUAAUCUACACACCUCCUAAACUCAGUAUAGAUUUAUUCUGGAGAGAAAGGAGCGGAGUUAUAGAGCUGUUAUUCAUUAUGUCUCAUGCUUUCCUCCCUGCUUUAAACAUUUAACCUGUAAUAUGAUGAGCCACAUGUCAGGAAUAAUCUAGUAUAAACCAUAGGUAAUCCCUACUGAAAGAUAAGCCUGGCUCUUGACCUGCCGCAGCCCUGGAAUUAAAAUUCCACCUCUCUUGAAUUUGGGUGUACUAGGUAAAUCAUGGAUCAGUUUCAUGGUAGCCAGUGAGGAAGAAAAGAUGAGAUUUCCUGGUUUCCCUCAGUUUAAUAAAACCAAACCCUAAAAUGCA
Long non-coding RNA from Zonotrichia leucophrys gambelii, 1485 nucleotides. RefSeq lists it as uncharacterized. The record is from RefSeq and is a predicted model, not a curated record. The transcript is spliced from 4 exons. Lineage: Eukaryota; Metazoa; Chordata; Aves; Passeriformes; Passerellidae.